GAUCAUGGCUCAGGAUGAACGCUAGCUACAGGCUUAACACAUGCAAGUCGAGGGGAAACGACAUCGAAAGCUUGCUUUUGAUGGGCGUCGACUGGCGCACGGGUGAGUAACGCGUAUCCAACCUGCCCAUCACUUGGGAAUAACCUUGCGAAAGUAAGACUAAUGCCCAAUGAUAUCCCACGAAGGCAUCCGAAUGGGAUUAAGGAUUUAUCGGUGAUGGAUGGGGAUGCGU
RNAcentral lists this ribosomal RNA (232 nucleotides) under uncultured bacterium. RNAcentral describes it as "partial 16S ribosomal RNA". It matches the Rfam family "Bacterial small subunit ribosomal RNA", at positions 15 to 236 of the family's 1533-position model. The record is from RNAcentral.